Molecule: ribosomal RNA, 373 nt
Filed under: uncultured bacterium
Lineage: Bacteria
Description: bacterial SSU rRNA
Rfam family: Bacterial small subunit ribosomal RNA
Source: RNAcentral
GUAGGGGCCAAGCGUUGUCCGGAUUUAUUGGGCGUAAAGAGCUCGUAGGCGGUUGGGUAAGUCGGGUGUGAAAACUCCAGGCUCAACUUGGAGAUGCCACCCGAUACUGCUCUGACUUGAGUUCGGUAGGGGAGUGGGGAAUUCCUGGUGUAGCGGUGAAAUGCGCAGAUGUCAGGAGGGACACCGGUGGCGAAGGCGCCACUCUGGGCCGAAACUGACGCUGAGGAGCGAAAGCGUGGGUAGCAAACAGGAUUAGAUACCCUGGUAGUCCACGCCGUAAACGUUGGGCACUAGGUGUGGGCCCUAACCAACGGGGUCCGUGCCGUAGCUAACGCAUUAAGUGCCCCGCCUGGGGAGUACGGCCGCAAGGUUA